Molecule: ribosomal RNA, 498 nt
Filed under: uncultured bacterium
Lineage: Bacteria
Description: partial 16S ribosomal RNA
Rfam family: Bacterial small subunit ribosomal RNA
Source: RNAcentral
AUUGAACGCUGGCGGAAUGCUUUACACAUGCAAGUCGAACUGCAGCACGGGGCAACCUGGUGGCGAGUGGCGAACGGGUGAGUAAUACAUCGGAACGUGCCCAAUCGUGGGGGAUAACGUAGCGAAAGCUACGCUAAUACCGCAUACGAUUUACGGAUGAAAGCGGGGGAUCGCAAGACCUCGCGCGAAUGGAGCGGCCGAUGGCAGAUUAGGUAGUUGGUGGGGUAAAGGCUCACCAAGCCGACGAUCUGUAGCUGGUCUGAGAGGACGACCAGCCACACUGGGACUGAGACACGGCCCAGACUCCUACGGGAGGCAGCAGUGGGGAAUUUUGGACAAUGGGCGCAAGCCUGAUCCAGCCAUUCCGCGUGCAGGAUGAAGGCCUUCGGGUUGUAAACUGCUUUUGUACGGAACGAAAAGGCUCUGGUUAAUACCCGGGGCUCAUGACGGUACCGUAAGAAUACGCACCGGCUAACUACGUGCCAGCCGCCGCAGUAA